Molecule: ribosomal RNA, 279 nt
Filed under: uncultured bacterium
Lineage: Bacteria
Description: partial 16S ribosomal RNA
Rfam family: Bacterial small subunit ribosomal RNA
Source: RNAcentral
UGCCAGCCGCCGCGGUAAUACGAAGGGUGCUAGCGUUAUUCGGAAUUAUUGGGCGUAAAGGGCGUGUAGGCGGCUGUCUAAGUCGGAUGUGAAAGACCUCGGCUCAACCGAGGAACUGCAUUCGAUACUGGACAGCUAGAGUGCGAGAGGGGCAAGUGGAACUCCAGGUGUAGCGGUGAAAUGCGUAGAUAUCUGGAGGAACGCCGGUGGCGAAAGCGACUUGCUGGCUCGCAACUGACGCUGAGGCGCGAAAGCUAGGGUAGCGAACGGGAUUCGAUA